GUUAGAACCCUUGCAGAUUCUAAACUUGGGGUUGAUCUCUUUAGGGGAUCGGCCUCCUUGGAACUCUAUAGGGGUUCCUCCCUCCAAGUUGCUGCUCAAAGGCUGUAGAAAAGAUUCAUCUAUUGCUUAAGAAAAGAGAAGGAAUACAUGACUAUUUAUAGGGCUUCUAAACCCUAACUCCUAAUAGGACUCCUAUUUAAGACUCUUACUUCUAACCAACUCCUAAUAGAACUCCUACUCAAGACUCCUAUUCCCUUACAACUCCUAAUUCUUCUCUAAGAAAAAACCUCCUAACCCUAGCCCGCCUCUUCAUCUCUUUAAUAGGGGUCGGUUUAGGUAGGUUUUAUAUGAAUGUCCCUCUCAAUUAGGACUCUCCUAGCUAGAGUCCUAACAGACCCGCCCUCUUCAAAUCAGCCUUGUCCUCAAGGCUGAGAUUCCAUGAACUCAGGGAACCGGGUCUUCAGCUCCUCAUAUGGUUCCCAUGUGGCGUCUUCAAGUGGUAAAUUAUUCCAAUGCACUAGUACUUCAGUAGAAGGGCGUCGGCAACGCAUCACGAUCCUGCGAUCGAGGAUGGCUUGUGGUUGAGCUUGAAUAACUCCAUCCUCAGUGGUGUUGGGUAG
This 620-nucleotide long non-coding RNA is filed under the name Musa acuminata (dwarf banana). RNAcentral describes it as "long non-coding RNA (MACU_LNC009288)". Lineage: Eukaryota; Viridiplantae; Streptophyta; Magnoliopsida; Zingiberales; Musaceae. The record is from RNAcentral.